CGGUAAUUCCAGCUCCAAUAGCGUAUACUAAAGUUGUUGCAGUUAAAAAGCUCGUAGUUGGAUUUCUGCGGGGACGGAGCGGCCGGUCGCAACUUGCGACUCGAGCUAACGCUUUCCCCGCAUCCUGCCGCGAACCGUGCUACCAUUAGUUUGGUGGCGCUGGGGAUCGGCUCGAUUACUUUGAGAAAAAUAGAGUGUUCAAAGCAGGCCACAUGCCUUGAAUAAGUUAGCAUGGAAUAAUGACUAAGGACUUUGGUUCUUUUCGUUGGUGUUCGGGACUGAAGUAAUGAUUGAUAGGGACAGUUAGGGCGGUCCGUAUUCCAAAGCGAGAGGUGAAAUUCUUAGACCUUCGGAAGACGAACAGCUGCGAAAGCGUUCCGCAAGGAUGUUCCCUUUGAUCAAGAACGAAAGUUGGGGGAUCGAAGACGAUCAGAUACCGUCGUAGUCUCAACUAUAAACUAUACCAGCUAGGGAUCGGCCAACGUUUAAUUAUUCGACUUGGUCGGCACCUUAUGAGAAAUCAAAGCAUCUGGGUUCCGGGGGGAGUAUGGUCGCAAGGCUGAAACUUAAAGGAAUUGACGGAAGGGCACCACCAGCCGUGGAGCCUGUGGCUUAAUUUGACUCAACACGGGAAAACUUACCAGGUCCGGACAUAGUAAGGAUUGACAGAUUGAUAGCUCUUUCUUGAUUCUGUGGGUGGUGGUGCAUGGCCGUUUUUAGUCGGUGGAUGUGAUCUGUCUGCUUAAUUGCGUUAACGGACGAGACCCCAGCCUGCUAAAUAGCGCGGCCGAGCUUUGCUCGGUGCGAGCUUCUUAGAGGGACCAUGAUGCGCGAUAGCACAAGGAAGUUUGGGGCAACAACAGGCCUGUGAUGCCCUUAGAUGUUCUGGGCCGCACACGGGCUACACUGGCGCCUGCAACGAGCAUAUCAGCUGGCCCGAGAGGGUCUUGGCUAAUCUUUGGGACCGGCGCCGUGCUUGGGAUUGACCAUUGCAAUUGUUGGUCAUGCAACGAGGAAUGCCUUGUAAACGCGAGUCAUCAGCUCGCAUUGAAUACGUCCCUGCCCUUUGUACACACCGCCCGUCGCUCCUACCGAUGAAUGUUCCGAUGAAAUUUUCGGAGAGCACCAGAGAACGGGGCUCUGCCUUGCAGAUCUGGAGGCUCAAAGUCACUUAAAUCUGAACAUUUCGAGGAAGGAGAAGUCGUAACAAGGUAGCCG
RNAcentral lists this ribosomal RNA (1218 nucleotides) under uncultured Rhizaria. Its description in RNAcentral is "SSU rRNA". It matches the Rfam family "Eukaryotic small subunit ribosomal RNA", at positions 577 to 1805 of the family's 1831-position model. The record is from RNAcentral.